AGACUGCAUGGAGUAAAGUGAAAGUAAAAUCUUCGGUUUAUGUGGAGAGAAAUAUAAAGUUUUCUAGAAAAUCACGUGUUACUCCAGUGUGAUGGAGGGUACGAGACCAGAUUCACCUGAACCCAGCUGUGUCUCCAUGAAGAGCGACUGGUCAAUGAAUCCUCCACUUUACUUUAAAGAUGAAGGCUGUUCUACUGAUCUGAGAGAGCUGCCAGCCAAAUGUUAAGAAAUCAGCUUGCCGUGUGAAACAGUACAGGUUCAUGAUUACUGUAAAGAGCUGUUUGUGCUUUCAUACAGUCUGUACAGUUUUUAAUGUUUCCUUGACAUGUAUUUUAAGUAAAUAUUUCUGAAGUGAAAUAAAAAAGAGAAGAAUUUUA
Trichomycterus rosablanca is the source of this 377-nucleotide long non-coding RNA. RefSeq lists it as uncharacterized. The transcript is spliced from 3 exons. The record is from RefSeq and is a predicted model, not a curated record. Lineage: Eukaryota; Metazoa; Chordata; Actinopteri; Siluriformes; Trichomycteridae.